AGACUGGAUGGAUCAUGGCAGAGGAGGAGCCUGGAGUGAGUUAGGAGAACGGGAGACUUUUCAGAACUUGUGAGUUAGGCUGGGGGCAGGGUUUUUUUGUUUUUUGUUUGUUUUUUUCCUUCAUACUCACUAAGUGAGACAAACAGCUGUGAGCGGCAGUUCCUCUCAGGUUUGGAAGCCGUGAGUCCCUGAAGUUUCCCAGGCAGCACAGACGCCAGCGCCUCUGAAGCAAAACGAGAAGCGGAAAGGAAGGCUUUGCAGUCUUCAGGAAAAGACAACUCUUCUCCACAAAAGCUUAGUCAAAGUCAGACCCUUUACCCAGAUCCCAGCCCCCAUGCUCAGCUCCCAGCGACCUUAGAGGGGCAGGAAGAGGACGCCACCGGGAUGGACAGGCGAGAGAGGUGUGCUUCUUACCGCGAGCUGCCAGGACCUGAUCCGGAAAUAAGGCUCCACUUCCGGAAGCAGCGGCGCUCAGGGUGAUUCCUGAGAUUUGAUUGGAGGGAGUUCCAUUUGGAGCUGAGUACUGCCUCUGCACUUGACCACUUGUAGGGAAACAUUAAUUGCCAUCUACUUCAGAGCAAAGCUUCUCUGAUGAGAGUUGAAAAAUGCUCUAAUCUGUGGAUAUAGAGAUAAGGAAUGCUGAGCCAGAGAGACGCUUCAAGCCACCGCCAUGAAAAAAACAAGAUAUAAGGAAACUCCAGAUGUCACCAACAUGCCACCAGCAUGACUCCAGGACCCUGCUAAUAAGGAACAUUUCUCUCAACCCAGAAAGAUGGCCACCAAUUUCAUCCUGGCAGUUCUGGUUUAGAUCUCAUUCUCCAAAGGAUUAUGCUGGGUUUUCUUAUAUGUAGUGAUUAUUUCUGUCUUUUUCAGUUAACAUAAUUCUUUUCAUUUUAGGAAUUUCACACCAUAUACCUUAAUCCCACUAGUUUCCCAGUCCUUCUAUGUCCAUCCUCCACCCUUGUAGCCUCCUCCCCCCUUGUAGCCUCUUCCCCAAAAAGAAAAGAAAAGAAAAAAAGAAAAACAUUUCGCUUCUCCAUCUUCCUUCCUCUCCCUCACAUAUUCAUUUGUCAUGCAUGAUACACCACAGCUCCUAAGAUCACUAUGACAAAGCCUAUGCCCCGUGAAAACCUGACCUGCCAUCAACCAGGAUGAGACACAGAAAAGGAAACCAAGGCUCUGAGAAGUUCAGUAACUUGUUUGAGGUGAACAAGAGCAGAACAACACAUGGAUGGCUGACCUCAGACAGUUUGGUUUUUAUCACUAUCCAUAUAUCUGAGAUGCACAGACUCACUGAGUGGUUUUUGAGCAAUUCUACCAAAAGCCUUUUACAGAUUCAAUGCAACCCCAAUGAAAAUCCCCGUCUUAUUCUUCACAGAAAUAGAAAUAACUAUCCUAAAAUUUUUAUGGAAACCUGAGGGACUUUAGAUAUCUAAUCCUGAGCAAAACAAACAAAGCAACAGCAAUAAUAACAAAAAAACCCCAAAACAAUCCUGGAGGUAUUAUCAUUCCAGAUCUCAAGAUACAUUACAGAGCUGUAGUAAUAAAAACUAUGGAACUGGCACAAAAACAGACAUGUCGACCAAUGAAACAAAAUCUAAUAUCAAACAUUGUUGGGGACCCAGAUGAUUUGUGGUUCUUUCUCAGGGACAUACACGGACCCAGGCACAAAAUAAAGACUCAGAGAAAUGUCUCCAGGGGCAAAACAAGGUCACAAAGGCAGAGAAGUGCAGAAGAAGGAACUCCAAUAAGGGGGUUAAAGAUAACUGUUUGCUGGAGUUUUGCUUGAAAUGCAAUCUCUAGGAGCCAGAAAGACAAUAUAUAAACAGUAGUGGGAAAAAUAAAAAAAAGUUCAUUCUUCAAUUAAACCCAGAGUCUUACGUCUUUGUCUAGUACUGUCUUCUUUUCCAGGUUCCCGUGAUGCCCACAGCUGUGCCGGCUGAGACAAAACAUGAGUACACAUAGUUUCAGCCAUUUGGUAUUCAAAAAAGAUGCCAAAAACAUACACUGAAGAGAAAUAGUGCUAGGAAAGCUGGGUGUCCACAAACAGAAGAAGAAAAUUAUGUAUAAUCUGAGAACUAGCUUUCAUGGUCUAGAAGGCACCAUGCAAGCUUCCAAAGGAGGGUAGCAACCUAUAGUCUUACCAAUCUAUGAUGCCUGUGACCACAACAACCCCCACAGCACAAUAAACCUACAGGUGCAGUAGUGGCAAACAUGCCUUGGCAGCGAGCAACAGAUUUCUAAUUGGACUUGAGGCUCACUCAACAAAAGAGAAAUCAUGCCUACUAUUGGAAGCGUAGCCAACCACUCAGGGCUAGUGAAGCUAUUGGAGGAGAACCUACAGCUACCACUUUACAUAAUCAGAAUAAGUCCCAACUACACUAUAAAUAUUUAUCUUAUACCUACAGAUACAUUUAGUUCUUACUCCUCAUCAAGAAAACCCUUCUUUGCAACAGAUGGAGGCCAUUAUUAGAAAACCACAACAGAUCAAAAUGCAGAAUUGUGAAGCACAGUCCCAAUGGAUACAUCUACAACUCCUAUAACUAAAGCUCAGAGAACAUUGUGGAAGAGGGCAUGGGAAGACUAUAGAAGGCAGAGGAACUGGAAGUUUGUUGUGAGAUUGUAUCUCCUAGAAAUGUCAGAGAAUCUACAUACAUGAGGUCUCAUUAACAUCUCAACCUAAACAUGACCUGAACAAAGACAGUACCAAUAGACAUACUAAUGUGGAAAGGGAAAAGCCCAGGAGGCCUCAACUCUACACAAAGAGCUAAAAGCCACUAAGGAUUGUUGUGAGCAGGAGAAAUAGUCUUCCCCAGGGAAGAAUGCACCAAUUGGUUAUAGGCAGACUUUUCUUUGCUGCCUGUCAGUUUCCAAAUAACCAACAUGGAGACUUAAUAUUAAUUAUAAAUGCACAGCUGUAGCUUAGGCUUGUUACUAACAACUAGCUCUUACAAUUUAAAUUAACUAAUUUCUGUUAAUCUACAUAUUGCCAUGUGGCUCAUGUCUUUACCUGUCCUCCAGCAUGUCUUGUUUCCUCUGCAUCUCCUGGUCACUACUCUGACUCAGGCCUCCUUCCCAGUAUCCUUAGUCUGAUUUUCCCAACUAACCUUAUCCUGUCCAGCUAUUGGUAAUUCAGAUUCUUUAUUAAACCAAUCACAGCAUAAUUUACAGUGUACAGAAGGAUUAUUUCACAGCAAUUGGUUAUCCCAUACCAGAUGAUCAGCCUUGAAAACAUAUACGUACAAGUAAUAUUACAUAGACUGAAUAUGUUAUACACACACCUACACACAUAUACACAUCUAUGUAUUUAUCACCUAUCUAUCAUCUAUUAUCAUCUAUCAUCAAGCAAUCUAUCAUCUACCUUCUAUAAAUCAUCUGCAUAUCAUUUAUUAUAGUAUCAUCUGUCUAUCAUCUAUUAUCUAUCAUCUAUCUAUCUAUCUAUCUAUCUAUCUAUCUAUCAUCUAUCUAUCUAUCAUCUGUCUAUCUGUCUAUCUAUCUAUUAUCUUGGUUACAACUUGUAAGAGAGAAAGUGAGACACAGAGAAGAUUUUUAGGGAAUUGAUAUUGUUAUAUUAUUAUCUAAAAAAAUUAUUAAAGAAAAAAAAGAAUGGUGCCUCGUUUCUUUUCCAGAUGGAGGGAAUGGUGAAAACGAAACUUCAAAUGGCUAGCAUGGACUGCCCAAAUAGCUUUUGAUUUAUUUGUUGAGAUAUGAUCUGACUCUGUAGUCCAGACUAAACUAACCUGCAGUCCACAUGUGUCCCAUGUUGGCCUUGAACACAGCAAUCCUCCAGUCCCACUCUCCCAGUGUUGGGACUAUAGGAGCAAGUCUCAUGCUUUGCUCUAAAUUGGUUGCUUUCAUUGAUCUCUAUUUAUUAUUUUCAAAGGUUUUUAAGAUCCCAUUCUAUUAUUUCAUGGUAAAUCUUCUGAUUUUACCUUUUAUAAAAGUAAUAUUAAAAACUGUAGUGCUCCACGAAAGUAUUUUCAAUUAUGUGCUCUGAGUUUUUUUUCUAACAAUAAAAUGUAAAUCCAUUGUCAUGAGUGAUACAUAUGAUAAGUUUUAGGCCUCCGGAGGCCUCUCCACCGUUGCAACAAACCAAAUCAGGAAAAGUCCAGGUUUAAUGAGUAAAGCACUCCUGGGUGAUUCCCCAUCCCUGCAGAGAGGAGAAGGGGACAAGAGUGGAAGAACCACAAGUCUGUUUUCAGGGAUACCACUUAUGCAUCCCCUGUGGGAGUUGUCCUGAGCCUCUCUGGGGGAGGAGCUGUGUUUGUAGGGCUUUGAAGGGGCAGGUUUAGGGAAAGAGAUGGGGAAGGGGGCUGAGGUGAAUCUUCCACCAGACUCCUUCCAAAUAUUCCAGACUCUUUGGGUAUAGGGAUGCCAGGGUGCUGGGGGUUGAAGUGGAGCUCCCACCCAAACAAUAUUUUUAAGUUUAAUGGGCAAUACUAAAUUUAUCUCCAAGUACUUUUAAUGAUUUGUUUUUACUUACACUUGUUAUUGGGAUAUAUUUAAAUUAUUUUAUUAGGUGGUUGUUUUAUUUUAUUUUGAGUUUCUCUGACUACGGUGAAUAUGAACAUCUUUUCUUCAUUCAUGUUUCUUCAUUUGAAAAUUGCCAGUUUACCUCAUUUACUUUCCCCCCAUAGUAUUGUUUAUUAUGUUGAUUGGUGUGCAUGCUUAUGUAUCCUGCGUGGGAAUGAUCUGAAGCUUCUUUAUCUUGUAAAUAUUCUCUUGGCAGGUGGUCUUGUCAUUUUACCUUUUUAUAAUGUCUGUUGUCAUGCAUAGGCUUGUAAUUUUAAUGAAGUCAAAUGUAUCAAGCAUUUUCCUUUGUUGUCUGUGUUUAUUUAAUAUUUUUUGUAAGAAGUCUUUUCCUACCCUGCUGUGGUUAAUCUUUAUUAUCAGUUUGGGUAGUUUCAGACUCACCAUGGAAACACAUCUGUGAGUAUGUUUAUAAGAAUGCCUCCAGAAAGUUUCACUUAAGUGGAAAGAUCCACCUUGAAUGUGAGGGUCAUUGAACCAUAGGGCUGCUCUCCGAUCCCUUCUAUUUCUGUGUUACCUGCUGCCUUGCCAUCUUGCUGCCAUGCCUUCCCCACAAUGAUGGGCUGCAUCCCCUUGAACUGCAGUAAAAAGAAACUGUUCUUUCUUAAUUUAUUCUUGUCAAGUAUUUGGUCACAACAACAAAAAAACAAAUAGAUAAAAUGUGUCCUUAGAGUACAAACAUUUGAUGCUUCUGGUCAUUUUCCCCCAUGUAAAUAAGUAUCUCACUGGGAUCUAUUUGUAUAAUGGGAAAUCUUGUGUCCUUAAUUUUAAAAUUGAUUACUAUCAUUAUCAUGUGUGCAUGUGUGGGCCUGUGUAUACCAUGGCACAUGAAGGGGUUAGAGGGCAACUGUGUGCGGCUGUCCUCUCCUUCUGUUUUGAUUCUGGGGACUGAACUCAGGUUGUCAGACUUGGUGGCAAACAUUUUGUAUGUGCUGAGCCAUCUCUCUGUCUCAGUCCUGGAUUCUUAUAUGGCCUCAGUCUUAUGUUAAAUGUGCUCAAACA
Molecule: long non-coding RNA, 5532 nt
Organism: Peromyscus californicus insignis
Lineage: Eukaryota; Metazoa; Chordata; Mammalia; Rodentia; Cricetidae
Exons: 7
Source: RefSeq, a predicted model, not a curated record